CCGGGCCCCGCUGCACGGCCGCUCCGUGCCGCCCGUGGGCCUCCGGGCCGGGCCCUGCCCUAGGGAACAUCCCUGGGUCGGCUCGUAUAAAUGUGUGGUUAGCUGUUGGUACUCGUGGAAGUGACACCAACAAAAUACCCUUUUGCUGUGUGGUGCAGGGAGGGCUGCGGGUGUGGUCUGGCUGGAUAGGGAAGCAGUCUGUCUCCUCACAGGUCCUCCUGCCCACCAGGAGACCCGGCUCGGUCUGUGCUGGCGGAGGAGGCUGUCAGUCCUUCCACCUAAACAGGUGAAGCCCAAAGGAAUAGAAGCUGCUCACUUCUUUAUGGAAGGACUCAGCUGCUCACAACAGCAAGCCAUUGGCUUAUUCAACAGAACACAUCUUCUGAAGAUAUUUGAAUAUGAUAGCCAAGAAGACUGAGCAGUCUUUGAAGAAACAGAGGACCAUGCAGCUGAAGAGAUGCAAUAGGUUUUCAGAGAACUGAAUCCUUGCACAUCCUUCAGCUGAAUAAGCCCACCCUUCUGAAGAGUUUGGUCCAGGGACCUGGUGUGGAUGCAUCCAUGCAAGACCUCCCUGCCAGGAGGAACGAAUGCUAUCCCAGUGCUCAGCACUGACAGAUUCCACUGCCAGUCCUGCUUUGAAUGUGAGAAAAAGUCCUGCAGAGUUGAAGAGUGAGAAGGGGAAAUGCGAGCUGUUGUCACGUUGUAUGACUGAUGCCAUACAACAGAUGCAAGUGCCCAUAGUUAAGAAAUCCCCAGCCCCAGUCUUCCAAAUCAUGAGCCACUGCUGAGCAUCAUGAGGCAGGGC
Gallus gallus (chicken) is the source of this 805-nucleotide long non-coding RNA. The record is from Ensembl. NCBI's taxonomy places the organism in Eukaryota, Metazoa, Chordata, Aves, Galliformes, Phasianidae.